AAAAACAUCGCCUCUUGCAAAAUUAACGAAUAAGAGGUCCUGCCUGCCCUGUGACCAUGAGUUCAACGGCCGCGGUAUUUUGACCGUGCAAAGGUAGCGCAAUCACUUGUCUUUUAAAUAAAGACCCGUAUGAAUGGCAAGACGAGGGCUUAGCUGUCUCCUUUUUCAGGUCAAUGAAAUUGAUCUUUCCGUGCAGAAGCGGGAAUGUCAACAUAAGACGAGAAGACCCUAUGGAGCUUUAGACACCAAGACAGAUCACGUCAAAGCCCCCUAAUUAAGGAUUAAACUAACUGAGCCCUGUCCUAAUGUCUUUGGUUGGGGCGACCACGGGGAACUACAAAACCCCCGCGUGGAAUGAAAGCACCACCCUGCUUUUACAACUAAGAGCCUCCGCUCUAAUAAACAGAAUAUCUGACCAACAAGAUCCGGCAACGCCGAUCAACGAACCCAGUUACCCUAGGGAUAACAGCGCAAUCCUCUUUUAGAGUCCAUAUCGACAAGAGGGUUUACGACCUCGAUGUUGGAUCAGGACAUCCUAAUGGUGCAGCCGCUAUUAAGGGUUCGUUUGUUCAACGAUUAAAGUCCUACGUGAUCUGAUUCCAGACCGG
RNAcentral lists this ribosomal RNA (608 nucleotides) under Larimichthys polyactis (yellow croaker). RNAcentral's name for it is "partial 16S ribosomal RNA". It matches the Rfam family "Bacterial large subunit ribosomal RNA", at positions 1809 to 2619 of the family's 2925-position model. Lineage: Eukaryota; Metazoa; Chordata; Actinopteri; Sciaenidae. The record is from RNAcentral.